Molecule: ribosomal RNA, 385 nt
Filed under: uncultured fungus
Lineage: Eukaryota; Fungi
Description: eukaryotic LSU rRNA
Rfam family: 5.8S ribosomal RNA (bases 1-71)
Source: RNAcentral
GUGAAUCAUCGAGUCUUUGAACGCACCUUGCGCCCCUUGGCAUUCCGAGGGGCACACCCGUUUGAGUGUCGUGAAAUUCUCAAAAUCCUUUUCUUUGAUCGGAAUAGGACUUUUGGACUUGGAGGUUCUAUGCUCGCUUUUGAAAGCGAGCUCCUCUCAAAUGAAUUAGUGGGGUCUGCUUUGCUGAUCCUUGACGUGAUAAGAUGUUUCUACGUUUUGGAUUUGGCACUGUCCCUUGGACGCCUGCUCCUAACCGUCUGUUGGACGACGAUGGUGCUUCGGUCACUGCCAUCUACAUUGGCGGGAGGCUGGACCCACAAAAAAGACCUUGACCUCAAAUCGGGUGAGACUACCCGCUGAACUUAAGCAUAUCAAUAAGCGGAGG